GCCACAAAUCUUUAUUCAACUAACUACAUUUGAGAUUAUUGCGCAUAUUUCUUCUACUUGGACUGAAUGAUAUAAAGAGAAAAGCAAAAUGAUAUAAUUCAUCCAAAGUAAGAAAAGCAGACAGAGAGUAAAAAGAAUCUGCCAACAACUGAAGAAACUAACAUUUAUAAAGUAAGAGAACACUAGAAAAAGCCAAUUCACUCGAUUGCUUUCUUGGAC
This 219-nucleotide long non-coding RNA is filed under the name Ricinus communis (castor bean). RNAcentral's name for it is "long non-coding RNA (RCOM_LNC000148)". Lineage: Eukaryota; Viridiplantae; Streptophyta; Magnoliopsida; Malpighiales; Euphorbiaceae. The record is from RNAcentral.